GAGUUUGAUCCUGGCUCAGCCUGAACGCUGGCGGCGUGGCUAAGACAUGCAAGUCGCACGGUGUAGCAAUACACAGUGGCGAACGGGUGAGUAAUGAAUCGCUAAUGUACCCCGGACUCUGGGAUAGCUGCCCGAAAGGGCAGGUAAUACCAGAUGAGACCCCGAUCAGGCAUCUGAUUGUGCUCAAAGGUCCGCCGGUCUGGGAGCAGGCGAUUUCGUAUCAGCUAGUUGGUGAGGUAACGGCUCACCAAGGCGACGACGCGUAGCCGGACUGAGAGGUUGGCCGGCCACAUUGGGACUGAGACACUGCCCAGACUCCUACGGGGGGCUGCAGUAACGAAUCUUCCGCAAUGCACGAAAGUGUGACGGAGCGACGCCGCGUGUGGGACGAAGCCCUUCGGGGUAUAAACCACUGUCAGGGGUUACCAAGUUCUGAGGAGCCCCAGAGGAAGGCACGGCUAACUCUGUGCCAGCAGCCGCAGU
This 483-nucleotide ribosomal RNA is filed under the name uncultured Phycisphaerae bacterium. RNAcentral's name for it is "bacterial SSU rRNA". It matches the Rfam family "Bacterial small subunit ribosomal RNA", at positions 9 to 521 of the family's 1533-position model. The record is from RNAcentral. Lineage: Bacteria; Pseudomonadati; Planctomycetota; Phycisphaerae.